UCAUUUAAGACAGUACUUGUGAUGGAUUGAGAACUGUUGACCAAAACAUGUCCAUAUAAAAUAAUAUGAUAAUGUAAUAAAAUCAUCUUCUUAAUAUUAAGUCAGCACCAGAAAGAACAAGAUGAAAAAUUUGAGGCUAUUUACAAUUAUUCUCCUCAUAGCAAACGCACAGAUUAUAUCUGCUCAGAGUAACUUCGUCCGAGGACUUGUUCUUGGCGGUGUUGGCGGUUUUCUCAUUAACAGAGCAAUUGGAAAUAACAGACGAGGACUCGGUGGAUUCGGCGGAGGACUUUUGGGAGGUGGACUCGGUGGAGGACUUUUGGGAGGUGGAUUCCGUCAACCGUUUCCACUUUUCAAUUCAGGUCGCCGUAAUGCCAGAGGAUUUUCGCCAUUUUUUUGAAUAAUGUUAUCUGAAGAUGUGCGUUAAGACAAUCCCAGAGUAGUCACACCAGUUUGAACUCUGUGGAAUGGAUGAUUACACCUUUGUUUCCAUCAGGAUGUUUUCUAGACUGUCACGUAAAGCAAGUUGAUAUGUUUUGCAUAAUAAAAAGACGAAGCAAUGACAAA
Long non-coding RNA from Mytilus californianus (California mussel), 567 nucleotides. RefSeq lists it as uncharacterized. Lineage: Eukaryota; Metazoa; Mollusca; Bivalvia; Mytilida; Mytilidae. The record is from RefSeq and is a predicted model, not a curated record. The transcript has 3 exons.